Molecule: long non-coding RNA, 707 nt
Filed under: Eutrema salsugineum
Lineage: Eukaryota; Viridiplantae; Streptophyta; Magnoliopsida; Brassicales; Brassicaceae
Description: long non-coding RNA (ESAL_LNC000327)
Source: RNAcentral
AUAAGAUGAGCAGUUGCAGUGCCACUUGGGUAUGUUAGUUUGAAGUCUAUUAUCAUUAUCUACAAACACAAAUUGGUAACUGUAAGAUCUUGCAUCAGCAAAUAGUCCACAUUUGGGUUUCCACAGACGAAGAAAAAGCAGAAACCAAACCUUUCGAAGAGGAACAACCGAGAAGAGACCAAGAAAGCUGACAACAAAGAGAAAAGCUAUAAUCCAACCCAAAGAAGGGUCCUUAACGCCACGGGCAACAUCUCCUGACUGGAUAGCUAUUCGUUCGCUCAUUGCAAAUAGGUACGUCCCAAAUCCUCCUGUUGCAAUUUAAUUUAAUAAACAAAGAAGAAAUUAGGGGCAGGUGAAUUAUGUGUGAAGAAGACCUCAAAGAUUUUGACUUUUUUUAUAAAAAAGGUCAGAAAUCAAGAAAAAACACCAAUUUUGAUUCAAAAGUUUGAGAUUUUUGAGAUGGAUUUUUUGUUUUGUUUUGUUUCUAUUACCGCUAAAAGCAAUGCCUGAAGAAGCAACUACACAUGUCUGAAUAACUGUGUUCUCUUGUCUGGUAAAGGGCUGUUUCAAAAGACCAGAUUUAUGAAGCAUCUUAGUCCAUGUCUUGACGAAGAAGAAGCCCAGAAGACCAGCAGAGACAUUAAGCGAAGGGAUGAUUCCUGUUGUGAGGUUAAGCUUCAUAACGAUGAAGCUAAACAAGAUGCUUA